GUGAAUCAUCGAAUUUUUGAACGCAAAUUGCACUCUCCUCGGAGAGUAUGUCUGUUUGAGGGUCAGCCUAUAAACAAUCGACAUCGUUGCUGUUUCGCGGUGGCGUUCGUCGGAAAUUGGGUCAUCUUAAAUCUUUUGGUUUUAAGCGACUUAAAAUUUUCUUUUUGGUUCUAUGAACGUUUCUAAGAUUUAUUUAUUUACACGUGUAAGGUAUCGAUUUUUAUUAGACGUGACUAUCAUAUCGGAUAGCGCAAACACU
RNAcentral lists this unclassified non-coding RNA (259 nucleotides) under Glomus sp. Its description in RNAcentral is "partial contains 5.8S ribosomal RNA and internal transcribed spacer 2". The stretch from base 1 to 65 matches the Rfam family "5.8S ribosomal RNA", at positions 84 to 154 of the family's 154-position model. Lineage: Eukaryota; Fungi; Glomeromycota; Glomeromycetes; Glomerales; Glomeraceae. The record is from RNAcentral.